RNAcentral lists this ribosomal RNA (463 nucleotides) under uncultured Desulfobulbus sp. Its description in RNAcentral is "bacterial SSU rRNA". It matches the Rfam family "Bacterial small subunit ribosomal RNA", at positions 925 to 1382 of the family's 1533-position model. The record is from RNAcentral. Lineage: Bacteria; Pseudomonadati; Thermodesulfobacteriota; Desulfobulbia; Desulfobulbales; Desulfobulbaceae.
ACAAGCGGUGGAGUAUGUGGUUUAAUUCGAUGCAACGCGAAGAACCUUACCUGGUCUUGACAUCCCGGAGACCCUUAGGAAACUAGGGGUGCUUCCAUCUGGAAGAAUCUGGAGACAGGUGCUGCAUGGCUGUCGUCAGCUCGUGUCGUGAGAUGUUGGGUUUAAGUCCCGCAACGAGCGCAACCCUUGCCUUUAGUUGCCAGCAGUUCGGCUGGGCACUCUAAAGGGACUGCCGGUGUUAAACCGGAGGAAGGUGGGGAUGACGUCAAGUCCUCAUGGCCUUUAUGACCAGGGCUACACACGUACUACAAUGGCCGAUACAAAGGGCAGCGACACUGCGAGGUGAAGCCAAUCCCGUAAAAUCGGUCUCAGUCCGGAUUGGAGUCUGCAACUCGACUCCAUGAAGUUGGAAUCGCUAGUAAUCGUGGAUCAGCAUGCCACGGUGAAUACGUUCCCGGGCCUU